UACGGAGGGUGUAAGCGUUGUCCGGAUUUAUUGGGUUUAAAGGGUGCGUAGGCGGCUUGUUAAGUCAGCGGUGAAAUCCCAGGGCUCAACCCUGGAACUGCCGUUGAUACUGGCAAGCUUGAGUUCGGUCGAGGCGGGCGGAACUGGUGGUGUAGCGGUGAAAUGCAUAGAUACCACCAAGAACCCCGAUUGCGAAGGCAGCUCGCUGGGCCGAAACUGACGCUGAGGCACGAAAGCGUGGGGAGCGAACAGG
RNAcentral lists this ribosomal RNA (253 nucleotides) under uncultured bacterium. RNAcentral describes it as "partial 16S ribosomal RNA". It matches the Rfam family "Bacterial small subunit ribosomal RNA", at positions 524 to 776 of the family's 1533-position model. The record is from RNAcentral.